CCAGACUCCUACGGGAGGCAGCAGUGAGGAAUAUUGGUCAAUGGGCGGGAGCCUGAACCAGCCAAGCCGCGUGAGGGAAGAAGGUACAGCGUAUCGUAAACCUCUUUUGUCAGGGAACAAAGGCGGGGACUAGUCCCCGGAUGAGGGUACCUGAAGAAAAAGCAUCGGCUAACUCCGUGCCAGCAGCCGCGGUAAUACGUAGGGGGCGAGCGUUGUCCGGAAUUACUGGGCGUAAAGAGAGCGUAGGCGGCACUACAAGUCUCAUGUGAAAUACCCGGGCUUAACUUGGGGGUUGCAUGGGAAACUGUAGAGCUUGAGUACAGGAGAGGCAAGCGGAAUUCCUAGUGUAGCGGUGAAAUGCAUAGAUAUUAGGAGGAACACCAGUGGCGAAGGCGGCUUGCUGGACUGAAACUGACGCUGAGGCUCGAAAGCGUGGGGAGCAAACAGGAUUAGAUACCCUCGUAA
This 465-nucleotide ribosomal RNA is filed under the name uncultured bacterium. RNAcentral's name for it is "bacterial SSU rRNA". It matches the Rfam family "Bacterial small subunit ribosomal RNA", at positions 331 to 793 of the family's 1533-position model. The record is from RNAcentral.